CAUGCAGUCGUGGGGCAGCAGGGGUAGCAAUACCCGCUGGCGACCGGCAAACGGGUGCGGAACACGUACGCAACCUUCCUUUAACUGGAGAAUAGCCCCUCGAAAGAGGGAUUAAUACUCCGUAACAUAUACAUGUGGCAUCACAAGUAUAUUAUAGCUCCGGCGGUUAAAGAUGGGCGUGCGCCUGAUUAGAUAGUUGGCGGGGUAACGGCCCACCAAGUCUGCGAUCAGUAACUGGUGUGAGAGCACGACCAGUCACACGGGCACUGAGACACGGGCCCGACUCCUACGGGAGGCAGCAGUAAGGAAUAUUGGUCAAUGGACGCAAGUCUGAACCAGCCAUGCCGCGUGGAGGAUUAAGGCCCUCUGGGUUGNAAACUCCUUUUAUCUGGGAAGAAAUGCAUUUUUUCUAAAGUGCUU
This 420-nucleotide ribosomal RNA is filed under the name uncultured bacterium. RNAcentral's name for it is "bacterial SSU rRNA". It matches the Rfam family "Bacterial small subunit ribosomal RNA", at positions 54 to 470 of the family's 1533-position model. The record is from RNAcentral.